Molecule: ribosomal RNA, 460 nt
Filed under: uncultured Treponema sp.
Lineage: Bacteria; Pseudomonadati; Spirochaetota; Spirochaetia; Treponematales; Treponemataceae
Description: partial 16S ribosomal RNA
Rfam family: Bacterial small subunit ribosomal RNA
Source: RNAcentral
ACGGGAGGCAGCGUCUAAGAAUAUUCCGCAAUGGACGAAAGUCUGACGGAGCGACGCCGCGUGGAUGAUGAAGGCCGGAAGGUUGUAAAAUCCUUUUAUAACUGAGGAAUAAGUAAGGUGAGAGAAACGCCUUAUGGUGACUGUAGGUUAUGAAUAAGCAACGGCUAAUUACGUGCCAGCAGCCGCGGUACCACGUAAGUUGCGAGCGUUGUUCGGAAUUAUUGGGCGUAAAGGGCAUGUAGGCGGUUUUGCAAGCUUGGUGUGAAAUCACGGAGCAUAACUCCGGAAUUGCGUUGAGAACUGCAUAGCUAGAGUCACUGAGGGGCAAUCAGAAUUCCUGGUGUAGGGGUGAAAUCUGUAGAUAUCAGGGAGAAUACCAAUGGCGAAGGCAGGUUACCAGCAGAUGACUGACGCUGAGGUGCGAAGGUGCGGGGAGCAAACAGGAUUAGAUACCCUGGUA